UGGAAGUAAAAGUCGUAACAAGGUUUCCGUAGGUGAACCUGCGGAAGGAUCAUUACUGAUUUGCUUAAUUGCACCACAUGUGUUUUUCUUUGAAACAAACUUGCUUUGGCGGUGGGCCCAGCCUGCCGCCAGAGGUCUAAACUUACAACCAAUUUUUUAUCAACUUGUCACACCAGAUUAUUACUAAUAGUCAAAACUUUCAACAACGGAUCUCUUGGUUCUCGCAUCGAUGAAGAACGCAGCGAAAUGCGAUACGUAAUAUGAAUUGCAGAUAUUCGUGAAUCAUCGAAUCUUUGAACGCACAUUGCGCCCUCUGGUAUUCCGGAGGGCAUGCCUGUUUGAGCGUCGUUUCUCCCUCAAACCGCUGGGUUUGGUGUUGAGCAAUACGACUUGGGUUUGCUUGAAAGACGGUAGUGGUAAGGCGGGAUCGCUUUGACAAUGGCUUAGGUCUAACCAAAAACAUUGCUUGCGGCGGUAACGUCCACCACGUAUAUCUUCAAACUUUGACCUCAAAUCAGGUAGGACUACCCGCUGAACUUAAGCAUAUCAAUAAGCGGAGGA
Molecule: unclassified non-coding RNA, 561 nt
Filed under: Candida albicans
Lineage: Eukaryota; Fungi; Ascomycota; Pichiomycetes; Serinales; Debaryomycetaceae
Description: sequence contains 18S rRNA gene, ITS1, 5.8S rRNA gene, ITS2, 28S rRNA gene
Rfam family: 5.8S ribosomal RNA (bases 195-348)
Source: RNAcentral